CCGUGCUAGAUGGGGAGGUAGCGGUGCCCUGUAACUCGCAGUCCGCUCUAGCGAGAUUGAAUUCCUGUUUGAGGUUUUGUGAUGCAGGUUCCAUUAGAAUUAUGCCGUGUUGACGGUAGAGUCCUUCGCGAGGGGCGGCUAUGAACCCGGUCAGGUCCGGAAGGAAGCAGCCAUAAGUAGUUUAGCUCUUGUGCUGAAGGGUAGCUUUGCCUGAGCGUCAUCUUUCUAUUUGGCUGGAUCAUAAUAAUCGAGGGCAGGUGCACGG
This 265-nucleotide signal recognition particle RNA is filed under the name Cohnella sp. RNAcentral describes it as "signal recognition particle sRNA large type". It matches the Rfam family "Bacterial large signal recognition particle RNA". From Rfam's summary of the family: The signal recognition particle (SRP) is a universally conserved ribonucleoprotein involved in the co-translational targeting of proteins to membranes. Archaeal SRP consists of a 7S RNA and homologues of the eukaryotic SRP19 and SRP54 proteins. The record is from RNAcentral. Lineage: Bacteria; Bacillati; Bacillota; Bacilli; Caryophanales; Paenibacillaceae.